Molecule: ribosomal RNA, 435 nt
Filed under: uncultured bacterium
Lineage: Bacteria
Description: partial 16S ribosomal RNA
Rfam family: Bacterial small subunit ribosomal RNA
Source: RNAcentral
GAUGAACGCUGGCGGUAUGCUUAACACAUGCAAGUCGAACGGACUCUUCGGAGUUAGUGGCGGACGGGUGAGUAACGCGUGAGAAUCUGGCUUUGGGUUCGGGACAACCACUGGAAACGGUGGCUAAUACCGGAUGUGCCGAGAGGUAAAAGAGAAAUUGCCUGAAGAUGAGCUCGCGUCUGAUUAGCUAGUUGGUGAGGUAAAGGCUCACCAAGGCAGCGAUCAGUAGCUGGUCUGAGAGGAUGACCAGCCACACUGGGAAUGAGACCCGGCCCAGACUCCUACGGGAGGCAGCAGUGGGGAAGUUUCCGCAAUGGGCGAAAGCCUGACGGAGCAAUACCGCGUGAGGGAAGAAGGCUCUUGGGUUGUAAACCUCUUUUCUUAGGGAAGAACAAAAUGACGGUACCUAAGGAAUCAGCAUCGGCUAACUCCGUG